GAUGAACGCUGGCGGCGUGCCUAAUACAUGCAAGUCGAACGGUAAGGCCCUUCGGGGUACACGAGUGGCGAACGGGUGAGUAACACGUGGGUGAUCUGCCCUGCACUUCGGGAUAAGCCUGGGAAACUGGGUCUAAUACCGGAUAGGACUCCGGACUGCAUGGUCUGGGGUGGAAAGCUUUUGCGGUGUGGGAUGGGCCCGCGGCCUAUCAGCUUGUUGGUGGGGUGAUGGCCGACCAAGGCGACGACGGGUAGCCGGCCUGGGAGGGUGACCGGCCACACUGGGACUGAGAUACGGCCCAGACUCCUACGGGAGGCAGCAGUGGGGAAUAUUGCACAAUGGGCGCAAGCCUGAUGCAGCGACGCCGCGUGAGGGAUGACGGCCUUCGGGUUGUAAACCUCUUUCAGCAUCGACGAAGCGAAAGUGACGGUAGGUGCAGAAGAAGGACCGGCCAACUACGUGCCAGCAGCCGCCGUAA
Molecule: ribosomal RNA, 478 nt
Filed under: uncultured bacterium
Lineage: Bacteria
Description: partial 16S ribosomal RNA
Rfam family: Bacterial small subunit ribosomal RNA
Source: RNAcentral